Molecule: long non-coding RNA, 1466 nt
Organism: Polyodon spathula (Mississippi paddlefish)
Lineage: Eukaryota; Metazoa; Chordata; Actinopteri; Acipenseriformes; Polyodontidae
Exons: 3
Source: RefSeq, a predicted model, not a curated record
AUUAUGAGUAGUGCCAAACUUAAAGUCUGUAGUGCUUCAUUGUAACGAGUAACAUCAUAUACCUGAGGCCUUGGUGGGCGUCCCUUCUAUGCCAGUGCAUUAUAUAACUGGAGAGAGUGCCCCAUAAUGGACGGGUCGGCAGUUCAUUCCAGGGUCAGCUGGAAGCAAGCUAACCAGGAAGGGGGCGGGUCCAUGAUACCAGAAGACAGGCGAUGUGUCAGUCACGGAUUGCAGGGGACAUGGUUGGCCGUGCCACCGAAAGAGAGCGUGACGGAGGGUAUUUAGGGGAAGCAGCCCCAGUGAUCUGUUCCUCCGUUAUGGUUACGGACUGACCAUGAGAUGGACUGUUCACUUCUAAUGCAGACCACUACCCAGCAACCAGACCUGCUGCCUCAGCCAGCAGGCUCAGCCGCAGUCACAGACCCACACAAACUCUGCAAUGCCUAUCGGUCACAGAAACACAUACGCUCUGCACUGCCCCCAGUCACGGACCUGUCCUACUUUUAAAGCCUUGGUUGGCCCCAUUCGUAAUCUCCCUCUAUCCAUUCAUAUGCAGAAAUCUUUAUUCUGCUUCCUCUGAACCCAGAAUCACAGAGUCUCUAAUCCAAAAUCUAGAUUGACAAAGAAUUCAUGGCCGGCUCCUUCACAGCUCCGUUCCCCAUCUUCAGAAUUAGCCCCAUUGGAAUAGCGACCCACAAAAUAUUGGGGAAAGUGCCUAAUCAAUGAUCUUUCCACCCUGAGAGGCAGUUCCACUCCAGUCUCAAUGCUCUAAUUCCCCACAAUCAAUUCUCCCUUCAUUAAAUUACAGCUUCUGUCACUAUUAGAUCCAUCAAAGCAGCAGGCCAUGCUGCCUGGCUCGCAAAGGUGGAUAUUAUUGACUCUUUUAAAUCAUGCUCAUUUAUCCCUCCCUCAACAACUUUCUCCUUAUAUUCCCACCUUCGAAACCCCUCAAGCAUCUUCAAUCUGUGAUCCGUGUUUUCUUCAGUAGGCAUCCCACCCUCAAGAUAAACCAUCGGCCCAACUAGAAUUCCUCUGAAUCAUGGGGACACUGUCAAAUCCGAAGCCAGCCUCCCACUCAACAAUCAUAGAAUGCAUUAGUCAAUUCAUUAACAACUUCAAAGUAUCAGAAUCAAUUUCAAUAACAACCCGUUAUCUACCUUCGGACAAUUCAAGUUCGCAAUUCGUAUUAUUCCCAAGGCAGAACAUUCACAUUGUGCCUUCUCACUCUCACCUCAAAUGCAACAACCUGCAUUCUCAUGUAAAAAUAUCUUUCAGAAGCAAGAAACACUCCUCCAGAGCUUCCAACUCCUGGCCUGCAGGCUGUCAUCAUUCCCUCGAGGUUAAGCCUCUAAAUACUUACCUAUAUUCUUCAUGCGGCCCUAGCUCCCACCCAUGAACUGUGUAGUACUACAUUUAAAUGGCACAUAAGAACCUUUUUAUUUUAUUGUGUUACAUGUUCCCAUGUG